GAUGAACGCUGGCGGCGUGCUUAACACAUGCAAGUCGAACGGAAAGGCCCUGCUUUCGUGGGGUGCUCGAGUGGCGAACGGGUGAGUAACACGUGAGUAACCUGCCCUUGACUUUGGGAUAACUUCAGGAAACUGGGGCUAAUACCGGAUAGGAGCUCCUGCAGCAUGGUGGGGGUUGGAAAGUCUCGGCGGUUGGGGUUGGACUCGCGGCUUAUCAGCUUGUUGGUGGGGUAGUGGCUUACCCAGGCUUUGAUGGGUAGCCGGCCUGGGAGGGUGAACGGCCACAAUAGGACUGAGGGACGGACCAGACUCCUACGGGGGGCAACGGUGGGAAGUCUUGCACAGUGAGCGGGAGCCUGAUACGGCGGCGCCGCGUGCGGGAAGACGGCCUUCGGGUUGUGAACCGCUUUCGCCUGUGACGAAGCGUGAGUGACGGUAAUGAGUGAAGAAGCACCGGCUAACUACGUG
Molecule: ribosomal RNA, 468 nt
Filed under: uncultured bacterium
Lineage: Bacteria
Description: partial 16S ribosomal RNA
Rfam family: Bacterial small subunit ribosomal RNA
Source: RNAcentral